This 90-nucleotide transfer RNA is filed under the name Mycobacterium marinum. RNAcentral describes it as "tRNA-Asp". Lineage: Bacteria; Bacillati; Actinomycetota; Actinomycetes; Mycobacteriales; Mycobacteriaceae. The record is from RNAcentral.
GCCGGCUUGGCCGGCGAGGGUUGGGUCGGUGCUGUCGGCGCCGGUGCGGCCGGUGCCGCCUUGGCCUCCGGUUCCGCCGGUGCCGGUUCC